CUGGAGGUAUCAGAAGUGCGAAUGCUGACAUAAGUAACGAUAAAGCGGGUGAAAAGCCCGCUCGCCGGAAGACCAAGGGUUCCUGUCCAACGUUAAUCGGGGCAGGGUGAGUCGACCCCUAAGGCGAGGCCGAAAGGCGUAGUCGAUGGGAAACAGGUUAAUAUUCCUGUACUUGGUGUUACUGCGAAGGGGGGACGGAGAAGGCUAUGUUGGCCGGGCGACGGUUGUCCCGGUUUAAGCGUGUAGGCUGGUUUUCCAGGCAAAUCCGGAAAACUAAGGCUGAGGCGUGAUGACGAGGCACUACGGUGCUGAAGCAACAAAUGCCCUGCUUCCAGGAAAAGCCUCUAAGCAUCAGGUAACAUCAAAUCGUACCCCAAACCGACACAGGUGGUCAGGUAGAGAAUACCAAGGCGCUUGAGAGAACUCGGGUGAAGGAACUAGGCAAAAUGGUGCCGUAACUUCGGGAGAAGGCACGCUGAUAUGUAGGUGAAGUCCCUCGCGGAUGGAGCUGAAAUCAGUCGAAGAUACCAGCUGGCUGCAACUGUUUAUUAAAAACACAGCACUGUGCAAACACGAAAGUGGACGUAUACGGUGUGACGCCUGCCCGGUGCCGGAAGGUUAAUUGAUGGGGUCAGCGCAAGCGAAGCUCUUGAUCGAAGCCCCGGUAAACGGCGGCCGUAACUAUAACGGUCCUAAGGUAGCGAAAUUCCUUGUCGGGUAAGUUCCGACCUGCACGAAUGGCGUAAUGAUGGCCAGGCUGUCUCCACCCGAGACUCAGUGAAAUUGAACUCGCUGUGAAGAUGCAGUGUACCCGCGGCAAGACGGAAAGACCCCGUGAACCUUUACUAUAGCUUGACACUGAACAUUGAGCCUUGAUGUGUAGGAUAGGUGGGAGGCUUUGAAGUGUGGACGCCAGUCUGCAUGGAGCCGACCUUGAAAUACCACCCUUUAAUGUUUGAUGUUCUAACGUUGACCCGUAAUCCGGGUUGCGGACAGUGUCUGGUGGGUAGUUUGACUGGGGCGGUCUCCUCCUAAAGAGUAACGGAGGAGCACGAAGGUUGGCUAAUCCUGGUCGGACAUCAGGAGGUUAGUGCAAUGGCAUAAGCCAGCUUGACUGCGAGCGUGACGGCGCGAGCAGGUGCGAAAGCAGGUCAUAGUGAUCCGGUGGUUCUGAAUGGAAGGGCCAUCGCUCAACGGAUAAAAGGUACUCCGGGGAUAACAGGCUGAUACCGCCCAAGAGUUCAUAUCGACGGCGGUGUUUGGCACCUCGAUGUCGGCUCAUCACAUCCUGGGGCUGAAGUAGGUCCCAAGGGUAUGGCUGUUCGCCAUUUAAAGUGGUACGCGAGCUGGGUUUAGAACGUCGUGAGACAGUUCGGUCCCUAUCUGCCGUGGGCGCUGGAGAACUGAGGGGGGCUGCUCCUAGUACGAGAGGACCGGA
This 1438-nucleotide ribosomal RNA is filed under the name Escherichia coli. Its description in RNAcentral is "partial 23S ribosomal RNA". It matches the Rfam family "Bacterial large subunit ribosomal RNA", at positions 1273 to 2696 of the family's 2925-position model. Lineage: Bacteria; Pseudomonadati; Pseudomonadota; Gammaproteobacteria; Enterobacterales; Enterobacteriaceae. The record is from RNAcentral.